CAUAAGUGGUCAGAGCACUUGGUUACAAGAAACUUGGGCUUUCUCUGUACUGAGCUGCAUGAUUUCUGUUUCCCUUCCUCUGAAGCUGUGCCUCCAUUUUAAAGAAUUAUCUCUUCCAUCUGGACUUCUGUUCCCUGAGAUACUCACCAGGGGCUGUCAGCACUGUGAUGGGAAUGCUGGGGAGGCAGUGGAGAAGCUGAAGAGGUGAAGCAAUUUAGGACUCAAUCCAAAGUUUAUCCAAGCCAUCAGGAAGCUUCGUGUUGGUUGUGCAGCCUUCGGCAAAGGCACGGCUCCCCUCGCUGCAACCACAUCUGAGCCACUGCAACAGGCAUUACUUAAUAGCGCUGAGAAGAGAAACAGAAGAAAAUUUCUUUGAAGAUUUACCUGGGCCUGAAAGGGCAGGAGGGGAGAAGACGAAGUGGAAAUAUGGGCAAAUGGAGGAGAACCAUUUGCCACCAUCCAAACAGGUCCUUUUCAACCACUUUUCUGUUGUGUACCUGCUUGUAGCCAGAGCCACUUGGUGCAAGCAGAGGUUAGAGACCUUUGGGGCUAACGCUGAAGGUAAGUUUUAAUUGAAGCUGAAAGACCUUUAGUUGCAUUAAAAUUUAUCCCUGCAAAGGACAGUG
Molecule: long non-coding RNA, 626 nt
Filed under: Coturnix japonica (Japanese quail)
Lineage: Eukaryota; Metazoa; Chordata; Aves; Galliformes; Phasianidae
Description: lncRNA (ENSCJPG00005018657.1)
Source: RNAcentral